Molecule: ribosomal RNA, 253 nt
Filed under: uncultured bacterium
Lineage: Bacteria
Description: partial 16S ribosomal RNA
Rfam family: Bacterial small subunit ribosomal RNA
Source: RNAcentral
UACGUAGGGUGCGAGCGUUGUCCGGAAUUAUUGGGCGUAAAGGGCUCGUAGGCGGUCUGUUGCGUCGGUAGUGAAAACUCAGGGCUUAACCCUGAGCCUGCUUCCGAUACGGGCAGACUAGAGGUAUGCAGGGGAGAACGGAAUUCCUGGUGUAGCGGUGAAAUGCGCAGAUAUCAGGAGGAACACCGGUGGCGAAGGCGGUUCUCUGGGCAUUACCUGACGCUGAGGAGCGAAAGUGUGGGGAGCAAACAGG